AACGUACGCUGGCGGCACGCCUAACACAUGCAAGUCGAACGAAGUAUCAAUACUUAGUGGCAGACGGGUGAGUAACAUGUAGGUAUCUGCCCUUUGGCCUGGAAUAACACGAGGAAACUUGUGCUAAUACCGGAUAAGUCUUUACGGAGAAAGCUUUAUGCGCCAUUGGAUGAGCCUGCACUUGAUUAGUUUGUUGGUGGGGUAAUGGCCUACCAAGACUGUGAUCAAUAGCUGAUUUGAGAGGAUGAUCAGCCACGUUGGGACUGAGACACGGCCCAAACUCCUACGGGAGGCAGCAGUGGGGAAUCUUGCACAAUGGAGGAAACUCUGAUGCAGCGAUGCCGCGUGAGUGAAGAAGGCCCUUGGGUUGUAAAGCUCUUUCGUCGGGGAAGAAAAUGACUGUACCCGAAUAAGAAGGUCCGGCUAACUUCGUGCCAGCAGCCGCGGUAAUACGAAGGGACCUAGCGUAGUUCGGAAUUACUGGGCUUAAAGAGUUCGUAGGUGGUUGAAAAAGUUAGUGGUGAAAUCCCAGAGCUUAACUCUGGAACUGCCAUUAAAACUUUUCAGCUAGAGUAUGAUAGAGGAAAGCAGAAUUUCUAGUGUAGAGGUGAAAUUCGUAGAUAUUAGAAAGAAUACCAAUUGCGAAGGCAGCUUUCUGGAUCAUUACUGACACUGAGGAACGAAAGCAUGGGUAGCGAAGAGGAUUAGAUACCCUCGUAGUCCAUGCCGUAAACGAUGUGUGUUAGACGUUGGAAAUUUAUUUUCAGUGUCGCAGGGAAACCGAUAAACACACCGCCUGGGGAGUACGACCGCAAGGUUAAAACUCAAAUGAAUUGACGGGGACCCGCACAAGUAGUGGAGCAUGUGGUUUAAUUCGAAGAUACGCGCAGAACCUUACCAACACUUGACAUGUUCGUCGCGACUCUAAGAGAUUAGAGUUUUCGGUUCGGCCGGACGAAACACAGGUGCUGCAUGGCUGUCGUCAGCUCGUGUCGUGAGAUGUUGGGUUAAGUCCCGCAACGAGCGCAACCCUCACUUUUAGUUGCCAUCAUUAAGUUGGGCACUCUGAAAGAACUGCCAGUGAUAAGCUGGAGGAAGGUGGGGAUGACGUCAAGUCCUCAUGGCCCUUACGUGUUGGGCUACACACGUGCUACAAUGGUAUCUACAACAGGAAGCAAGACUGCGAAGUUAAGCAAAUCCCUAAAAGAUACCUCAGUUCGGAUUGCACUCUGCAACUCGAGUGCAUGAAGCUGGAAUUACUAGUAAUCGUGGAUCAGCGUGCCACGGUGAAUGCGUUCCCGGGUCU
Molecule: ribosomal RNA, 1306 nt
Filed under: uncultured bacterium
Lineage: Bacteria
Description: bacterial SSU rRNA
Rfam family: Bacterial small subunit ribosomal RNA
Source: RNAcentral